Molecule: long non-coding RNA, 380 nt
Organism: Epinephelus fuscoguttatus (brown-marbled grouper)
Lineage: Eukaryota; Metazoa; Chordata; Actinopteri; Perciformes; Serranidae
Exons: 3
Source: RefSeq, a predicted model, not a curated record
AACAUUUGCUAUUUAUUGAUGAACAGCAUGCCCAACCCCUGAAGUUCGACAUGGAUUUGCAGUUGGCCCCUACAAUGGCACAGUGUACUACACCUGUGAUGAAGGCUAUAAGCUUUUCAGCAAAGGCUGGUGGGCUGAGGCCAAAUGUAAUGAUGGCGAGUGGUCUGGAUUUGAACUAUGCAUCGAAAAUGAAAAGUGUGGAAAGAUUCCUGUGAUUCCUAAUGCGGAUGUGACACCUCCACGUAGAGAAGACCAAAGCUACAGGAUUACCUGUAAGGAAGGGUACACCGCUCAGGUUGAACGCUUUACUUGUCGCCAGGGAAAAUGGCAUUUUGGUGGAUUUUCCCUCAAAACAAUCUGUACACCAAAUGCAAAUCUCU